UGCCGUGACCAGGAUUCGAACCUGGGUUAUUGCGGCCACAACACAAUGUCUCAACCACUAGACGAUCACGGC
Molecule: transfer RNA, 72 nt
Filed under: Cordylochernes scorpioides
Lineage: Eukaryota; Metazoa; Arthropoda; Arachnida; Pseudoscorpiones; Chernetidae
Description: tRNA-His
Source: RNAcentral